CCUACGGGUGGCUGCAGUGGGGGAUAUUGCACAAUGGGGGAAACCCUGAUGCAGCGACGCCGCGUGUGGGAAGACGGUCCUCUGGAUUGUAAACCACUGUCCCCAGGGACGAAGAUGACGGUACCUGGGGAGGAAGCUCCGGCUAACUACGUGCCAGCAGCCGCGGUCAUACGUAGGGAGCGAGCGUUGUCCGGAAUUACUGGGUGUAAAGGGAGCGUAGGCGGGACUGCAAGUUGGGUGUCAAAUCUACCGGCUCAACUGGUAGCCGCACUCAAAACUGCAGUUCUUGAGUGAAGUAGAGGCAGGCGGAAUGCCUAGUGUAGCGGUGAAAUGCGUAGAUAUCAGGAGGAACACCGGUGGCGAAGGCGGCCUGCUGGACUGCAACUGACGUUGAGGCCCGAAAGCGUUGGGAGCAAACAGGAUUAGAUACCCCAGUAGUC
RNAcentral lists this ribosomal RNA (440 nucleotides) under uncultured bacterium. Its description in RNAcentral is "partial 16S ribosomal RNA". It matches the Rfam family "Bacterial small subunit ribosomal RNA", at positions 338 to 795 of the family's 1533-position model. The record is from RNAcentral.